CAGCAAUGGUAAGAGUUCUUGUCCCGGUCCUUUGUGUGCUUCCCUGCUGGCUCCUGGCUCCGAGUGCGGCUUCUGAUCCUGAUUGUGACCCCAGUCUGUCCGGACUCUGGCUACAAAUCCAGUUCUGCUGCCAGACCCGACACCACCCAGACUUUGGAGUGGAAGAAGCAGAGAGCCUUGCAUCAUGGAACACCCUUAGCUGGUUUAUUAAACAGAGGCGUGCAGAGAAAUCAUAUUUUAAAGGGUAAAGCCAGGGAGGCAGACUGAGAGACAAGUAUUCAACCUUAAAUCUGCUUUCCUUGACUUUUGAACUGCUUUGUUUCCUCAACUUUAAUGUUGCAUAAACAGGUGUGUUUGCAUGUCACACAUGCACACAUAAGCAUUAUGGCCUUAUCUCUGAUUUCCUCCCACAUGGAAAACUUUCCUAGACUUUGAUGGAGACUUUGCCUGACACAGAUAGGAGGCUCAGGUCCAGUCUGAAGACUGCUGGCCCUUGCACGUUUUGUUUGGCUUGUCCUUAGCCAUGAGGUUCUCUCUCUUUCUCCUAUCCUCCCUGUGUUGACACUAUGCCUAAAAUUUUGCCCUGUACACUUAGCAAGCUACACAAUGUAUCAAUCUAAGCAAAAUACUGCAAUUCCAUACAGAGACAUUGGUGCUUGUAAAACCUCCCCCAUGCCCAGAGGUCAGACAUUGAUCACUAGGUCACAAUUACAUCUGAUGAUGCACCCCAGGAUCACUCUUUCUCCCAACAUUUUUAUUUCCUUUCCUUGCUUUUUCCCUUUCUUACUCUUGAUUUUCACACCAGUUAUGAAUUUAAACCUUGGAAGUACUUCCCAGCUAUGUACCCUGUAAUCUUGUAACGUAUAUUGUAUUUACCCUGCUGGAUGACAAUAUAAAACUUAAUUUUGUAAGCUUCAUUACUGAAAGUAUCAUAAAAAUUUACUCACCGGAAUUGACCUGGAUAUUGUGGUACUAUCUGAGGGUUGCAGCUGGUCAGGAUUCUUUAUACCUCCUGAGCUCUUAUUUUCUAAUA
This is a long non-coding RNA of Alligator sinensis (Chinese alligator), 1033 nucleotides long. RefSeq lists it as uncharacterized. NCBI's taxonomy places the organism in Eukaryota, Metazoa, Chordata, Crocodylia, Alligatoridae. The record is from RefSeq and is a predicted model, not a curated record. The transcript has 3 exons.